RNAcentral lists this long non-coding RNA (253 nucleotides) under Zostera marina. RNAcentral's name for it is "long non-coding RNA (ZMAR_LNC001415)". Lineage: Eukaryota; Viridiplantae; Streptophyta; Magnoliopsida; Alismatales; Zosteraceae. The record is from RNAcentral.
CGAGUAGGUCGUCGUCUUGCUGGUCCAAGAUAAUUCAAUUGCUCUUGUAUUUGCUUCUAAAGAGACUGCAAUGUGGGGCUUCUAAAGAGACUGCAAUUAGGAAGUUUAGGCACUGUAAUGUCUUCUACUGUCAUCUAAAGAAACGACAGAGGAUAAAGAUGUAUCUUUCAUCCUUCGAUUGGGUGCUUGAGGUGGAAUUACAUAUGAAACCAGUGCACGGUCGAUGAGGAAAUACUUACAGAAAGAAUAUUCU